GUGGUUUUGUUUUGUUUAUAUCAUGCUUUUAUGGUUCAUAUAUCAUAAUGGUGGAAAUACAGAAGUUAAAAGAUCAAACUAAACUUAUAAAUAUACAAUGGAAUGGAAAUACGAGAGUGCACACGCUGAAAUGUCUCACCUUCUUUACUAAUCAUUGAUAUUAUGCUGAUAGUCCUAAAUAUAAAGCUUUAUUACAACUGUUACAUAAACUUAACAUUAACCAAGAAAACUAAACAUUGACCAAUGAACCAUGAAAAUGAGGUCAAGGUCAGAUGAACCAUGCCAGACAGGCAUGUACAGCUACCAAUUCUGCCAUACAACAAAUAUAGUUGACCUAUUGUUUAUAGUUUAAGAAAAACAGACCAAAACACAAAAACUUAACACUGAGCAAGGAACUGUGAAAAUGAGGUCAAGGUCAAAUAAAACCUGCGCGACUGACAUAUAGAUCAUAAAAUAUUUCCAUACACCAAAUAUAGUUGACCUAUUGUUUAUAGUUUUAGAAAAAAGACCAAAACUCAAUAACUUAACUUUGACCACUGAACCAUGAAAAUGAGGUCAAGGUCAGAUGACACCUGCCAGCUAGACAUGUUCACCUUACAAUCAUUCCAUACACCAAAUAUAGUAGACCUAUUGCAUACAGUAUAAGAAAAACAGACCAAAACACAAAAAUUAACUAUAACCACUGAACCAUGAAAAUGAGGUCAAGGUCAGAUGACACCUGCCAGCUGGACAUGUACACCUUACAGUGCUUCCAUAUACCGAAUAU
This 766-nucleotide long non-coding RNA is filed under the name Mytilus galloprovincialis (Mediterranean mussel). Lineage: Eukaryota; Metazoa; Mollusca; Bivalvia; Mytilida; Mytilidae. The record is from RNAcentral.